UUCUUAACGUGAACAGCCUAUACUGGUCUAUGCGUCAAUGAUAUGACUUAAGUGACAUAUGUUAUACAUACACGGAGUUGAAGAAAAGGGUAAAGAAGAGGAGACAUCAAACUCCAAAUAAGAAUUUGAUUUGACAACGUAAUUAAAGAUUGCAUAAGUAUGACUACACAGUAAAAAGAGCAAAGUAAAUAACUUGAAGUCAUCAAUAACCUACCCUAAUGUCAGUGUAUUUUCUACUCACUAACUAAAACCAGUAAUAGUAAAUGAAGCUCAUUCAGCCACAGUAGAAUAUACUGUGAUUCAGCAUUAGACAAGGAUUCCAGUAAAACUCUUUUUGGCUUAUAAGGAUAUCCCAUGUUUGACAAUUGGCUACUACCAUUGGGUUUUUUGGGAAAUAUAAAAUACUGUACAAGGUGAAAUGGGCAUCAAAGGUCUUACAACAUUUGUUAGGAACAAGUCAGAAUUUUGUAUGGAAAGAUUUGAAUUACAUGACACAGAUAUUGUAAUUGAUGGAGAUGCUGUGCUUUGUCAACUUUACUUGAGACAUACAUUCCACAAGAAUGCUUGUUUUGGAGGCGAUUAUGACAAGUUUGGAAACACAAUCUACAAGUUUUUUCUAAUGCUUUCUGAAUGCAAAGUGACACCCUAUGUAAUACUUGAUGGAGGCUACGAAAGUCGUAAAAUGGAUACAAUUCUAGAACGUUUCAAAAGCAGGCUAGAAAAAGUGACAGUACUGAAUCCUAGAACUCAAAAUAAAAAUACGUCUACACCAUUAUUCAUAAGAGAAACGUUCGAGGACAUUGCUGUAAAACUCAAUAUUAAAAUGGUGAGAUGUGAUUUUGAAGGUGAUAGAGAGACUGCAAGUAUCGCAAAAGUACUAAAUUGUCCAGUAAUGAGUAAUGAUUCAGAUUUUUUUAUAUUCAAUGUACCGUAUAUUCCAUUUCUGAAUUUGAAGAUGAGUGUUAUAAGGUCUACAAAAUUAGACCAGAAAACUAACAAGGAAAUAUCUUAUAGGUAUAUUCCAUGUGAGAUUUAUAAGAUUGAUAAAUUUAUUGCUUGUGUAGGAGGAAUGAAGAAAGAAAAUCUUCCUCUUUUAUCUGCAGCAGUGGGAAAUGAUUUUAUGAAGGGGGUGAGUUUAUCAAAAUUGAAUUUGUGUAAAGGAAAUGAAAAUAAUAUUAAUAUGAUUGAAAGAAUAGAAAUUCUUAUAACUUGGUUGACAAUGGAAACUAAAGAAAGUGCUAUCGAGAAAAUCAUAAACUCUUUUGAUGAUUCAGAAAAGCAGUCUGUGUCCAGAGAAAUAGAAAAUGCUAUUAAUGGUUAUACAUUUGUUAAUAGUAAAUAUUUGAAAUAUUUACAGGAUAACCCAAUAGAUCCAGAAGAUAUCGAUAAAUUUGAAGAUCAGCUAGACUCGACAUAUAAUACUUAUGAAAAGUUGACUUCUAGUUUUCCUGCUCCAUUCAUUGAGAAUUUCAGAAAAUCAUUGUACCCUACCAGAUUUUUGGAUAUUCUUACCCAGAAUAAGUAUUACAAUUUCAAGCCACAAGUUGAACUGGACUGUUUGGGACAUAGUCAUACUCCAAGUAUUGAAAUCAUGUCAGCAGUUCAAAAAGUUCUAACUAGCUCGCAAGAGAAUUUAGUAUGCCUAGUAAGAAUUGGCCAAAAUGUUGGUGAACAGGUGCUGCCAGUUUGUAAGCAUGAUUUACCUAGCUUUAGAGAAUUGCAAAAGAUGGAUAAAGACGCCAGAAAACAAAUAAUUUUGAGGGUAAUUAAUAUUGACAACAGUUUUAUUACGAAUACCCUUACGUCGUUUCCAGAAUCCUGGCAUUUAUUUAUCCUGACUCUCAAAUAUAUGAUUAAUAAGUCAAUAAUAUCAUGGCCUCUAGUUUAUACUUUGAUAAUAUGUAAGAUAGUCAUCAGUCAUUUGGACCCAAAAAUAGGAUUCCAUCGCACCGUUCAAACAUUUAACCGACAAUACCUCUACCGAAUCCGUGAAAUGUGGGGUCAGAAAAGGACUCUGCCAAGUACAUACUGGAAUGUUAAAGAUUUCCUGAAUGCCAUUACUUUUGAAGAUGCUCUGCUAGUUAUGAGCCAGGUUAUGCCUUAUUUCGAAAUGAAUAAUCAAUUACUUAGAGAUUACAGAUCAUUUGAUAGGGCUUUAAUGCAUACAACAUCACAAUUCCAAAGUGUUUUAUUACAUGUUAAAUCUCUGAAUCAAUUAUUUAAUAUGCCUUUUGCAGACUUCCUCAUAUCUGAUUGUUUCAAUGGUACUUUUGUUUACAACCUCACAGAAGAUUUGACAAGACGACCUGAUGUUGAUAAUUUCUUGAACUACUGCUUCCGAAAAUCUCCUUUAAUUAUGCAUAUUUUUGAACUCAUUGUGAGUUCUGUAAAAGGAGAAUCAAGAAUACCACUUGGAGAAAAAAGAAGAAGAAUCGAUGUUUGUCAGUCUUCUCAUAUGAAUGUAGUUUAUAAUUAGGUUUUAUGGUUUUUUCAGCUCCUGGUGUCACAAUUUUAGCAACUGAAUUCCAACGGUAUUCUUAGUUAUGCCCUAUAUUUUUCUGUCAUAAUUAUUGCUCGUUAAAAAUUGGUUUUUAUUGAUCAGAUUUUCAAUACUCUCUAAACAUUUCAUCAUCGAAAAUAUGAUUUUGUGGGUUCUAUGUUAGUCUAUAUUAUUUAUGAAUGCUAUUAAUAUUCAUUUGACAGUGAUUUCAAAAUUUGGAAAAAACUUAUUAGAAUCAAUUAUAUUUGUUUUUAAUUAUUUCUCAUAUACUUCGAAAUUUGUCCAGAAGGUGGAAUUUAGUUUUUUUAU
This 2809-nucleotide unclassified non-coding RNA is filed under the name Leptinotarsa decemlineata (Colorado potato beetle). Its description in RNAcentral is "protein asteroid-like, transcript variant X1". The record is from RNAcentral. Lineage: Eukaryota; Metazoa; Arthropoda; Insecta; Coleoptera; Chrysomelidae.